GAUGAAGAACGGAGCGAAAUGCGAUACGUAGUGUGAAUUGCAGAAUUCAGUGAAUCAUCGAAUCUUUGAACGCACAUUGCACCUCUCGGUAUUCCGGGAGGUAUGCCUGUUCGAGCGUCAUUUGUACCCUCAAGCUCUGCUUGGUGUUGGGUGUUUGUUCCGCCUCUGUGUGUGAACUCGCCUCAAAACAAUUGGCAGCCGGCGUACUUGUUUCGGAGCGCAGCACAUUUUGCGAUCCAGAUCAACGUACAGCGGCAUCCAAGAAGCCUUAUUUAACGCUCUUGACCUCGGAUCAGGCAGGGAUACCCGCUGAACUUAAGCAUAUCAAUAAGCGGAGGA
This 339-nucleotide unclassified non-coding RNA is filed under the name soil metagenome. RNAcentral's name for it is "partial contains 5.8S ribosomal RNA, internal transcribed spacer 2, and large subunit ribosomal RNA". The stretch from base 1 to 120 matches the Rfam family "5.8S ribosomal RNA", at positions 35 to 154 of the family's 154-position model. The record is from RNAcentral.